RNAcentral lists this ribosomal RNA (199 nucleotides) under Sphingomonadaceae bacterium. Its description in RNAcentral is "partial 16S ribosomal RNA". It matches the Rfam family "Bacterial small subunit ribosomal RNA", at positions 1 to 228 of the family's 1533-position model. Lineage: Bacteria; Pseudomonadati; Pseudomonadota; Alphaproteobacteria; Sphingomonadales; Sphingomonadaceae. The record is from RNAcentral.
GAACUUGAGAGUUUGAUCCUGGCUCAGAACGAACGCUGGCGGCAUGCCUAACACAUGCAAGUCGAACGAGACCUUCGGGUCUAGUGGCGCACGGGUGCGUAACACGUGGGAAUCUGCCCAAAGGUACGGAAUAACUCAGGGAAACUUGAGCUAAUACCGUAUGAUGCCGAAAGGCCAAAGAUUUAUCGCCUUUGGAUGA